This is a long non-coding RNA of Felis catus (domestic cat), 1829 nucleotides long. RefSeq lists it as uncharacterized. The record is from RefSeq and is a predicted model, not a curated record. The transcript is spliced from 2 exons. NCBI's taxonomy places the organism in Eukaryota, Metazoa, Chordata, Mammalia, Carnivora, Felidae.
GAUCGGAAGGAAAUAUACAAAAAGAUUGCUCUCUCUGAGGAUUAUGGGUAAUUUUUAUUUUUAAAUUUUUGCUUAACUAUGUUUUCUAAAUUUCCUAUAAGGAGUAGCUGUGUUUUUUUGUGUGUGUGUGUAUAAAUAGAGAGUAGCAGUUAUAUUUUAGGGGGAUCAGGUAAGCUUUUUUCAGUUCUUGUAGGCAAUAUUUACAUCAUAUUAAUUUUUUCAUCCCCCUUGGAACUGUGAAUUUACCUGCAGUUGCCUUCACAAGCCAUAGUACCCACACCCUCACCCUACCUGUAGUCAGAGCCAACAAAUUCCUUGGCAAGUUUUAAUUAAGCUCUUCCAGUGUGUCCACCCCGCAUAGGCUUGAUGGGGGAAUAGAUACAAGAGCAGUAUAAACCAGGGCCCCUUGCCAGAGCAAAUAUUUUGAUACUGAAUGAUUUGGCUGCAUCUAAGCAGGCGAGACCUGAGAACACUCACUCGCAAGGCUGCCUCUGCUAACCAAAUGGCACAGCAUACUAUGAUGUUAUAAUAUUAGGUUCUUAAUCAUGGAAACACUGGCGUCUGUUUCAGCGGAAGCUUCCUCCCAGAUGGUGCAUCCUACUGUUUUUGUCGUCUGGAACAGUGUGAGGUUUCUUAAAUGGCUGUGCGCUUCCAAAUCAUCUUCCACACAAUGGCAGCCUGUUAAUUAAGUGGUCCCUUUGUGAUUGCAUUUGAUAAAUAUGAGAUGAGAAGGGUUUAUCGAGCUGUGAAGAAAAAAGCAAGGCACAGCAACAGGAAGAAGCUCCAGCGGGUGGAAAGGCCUUUGUGUGGGCGUCGUCCAGGGAGCUUCAAGGGAAUUGGGGACAGCUUUGCAGGCACAGAAAGGAGAAGGCUGGGAUUCACUCAGACCACACGCUGCGACGUCUGCCUAGUGGAUGGCCAGCCAGAUGCACAUGGUGUGUGAGGCACUUUGUGGCAGAGGCGGGCAGGGAGGUGGAAGCCUUCCAGUUCUUUCUGAGUUGACUGAUGUGAGGUUGUCAGUCACACUGCCAGGCACUGUUUUGACUCCACUCAUCAAGAUUUGCACUGUGCAGCUCCAAAAAAGGUAUCUGCUUUGAAAGUAGUGUUCUGCAUUCUUGGAGCAGAUGACUGGUGACAACAUCCAAUUAAAUAUAAACGCUUGGCCAGGGGACUUGACUUGGAGGGUUGGUGAAGUUUCAGGUCUAACUUGUUAAACUUGGCCUUCCUCAAAUACUGGACAACUUUCUCCAAAAACAGCACUUCAGGGAAUCAAACCUAAUUAUAAGUGGCAUCUUCAAUUGGACAUAGAUCUCCAUCAGCCACCUUCCUGCCUCGGGAAAGGCGUACAUCAACCCCAGGCUAGAGAAAGGAUCUGUGAUACCUGAUGACUUCUUUGUCUUUCCCACUGGUUCAAUCCUAUUUCAGCCAUUCAUGAGAUGAAUAUCUACGAGGCAUUUACAGGGAGGAAGGCACAUAUCUGCGGAGGUGACGACUGGGCUGAUGUGAUUCUGUGAACCACUUGAGGGCAGAGGCUUUGGCUUUAUCUUCAUACUUCCGACACCUAGCAGAGUGCCUGCUGCCCGGCAUGGGAGAGCCUCGGUUUGGCAACUGACUUCCAGGGGACAUUGUGAAAGCUGGUUGACUCUUGGUCACGUGUUGCAGUGAUAAGCCAGUAGCAUCCUUGACUCUGAGCACCUCCCUCCCCCUACUGGGAGGUUACCCCACUUGUUCUUCACCAUCAUGGCCACCACUGGACCCUAGUGUCUCAUUUCACACUACAGGCUCCCCCUGUAAAAUAAAAUUGAUAAGAGGCUUUCUCACUGGUCAGA